Long non-coding RNA from Girardinichthys multiradiatus, 882 nucleotides. RefSeq lists it as uncharacterized. The record is from RefSeq and is a predicted model, not a curated record. NCBI's taxonomy places the organism in Eukaryota, Metazoa, Chordata, Actinopteri, Cyprinodontiformes, Goodeidae. The transcript is spliced from 2 exons.
AGUUUGUUGAUUGCGAUAUAUUUGAGUUUGAAUCACUUUUUUUUUGUUAACAAUUUGUUGUAUUUUAAGAAAUAGUGUGAAUUUAUUCCAUGUGUGUGCAGAGAUUUGCUGUUCAGUAAUGUCCACCACCUGGGUCCAGAGGCUGGUUACCCCUCUAGUGUAUUGGUACCUAGAAUAUUUGGAAUUGGCAAUAUAGAGUGUGCAUGGGGACUGCGAAUAAGUAUACACAUUGUUAUGUGUCUUUAUGUUGGGUAUGUGGAUGUAAGUGUUUUCAUGUGUACGCAUGAGCGUGGGAAUGUGUGAUUGUGACUGUGUGCCUGUUGCAUGUUAGGUUGUGUCAGGUUGCGUCAAAUAUGGGGUCUAUUUCCUCCCUGUCACAGUCCCAGCCGGUGGCAGGUUUCUCUGUUGUUAGUGGUUCAUGGUGUCCAGGGCUGGGUGUUCUGGUCUGUGCCGGCCUGUGGGAUUCUGCAGCUCCCUGGAGCUUCUGCACUGUGGCUGCUGGUUGGUUACCCUGGGGCUAUCCUCUGCUCAUCUCUGGGAGGUCUGUGGCUAACACACACACCUGCUAUUGAACAUUCUUAUGGAGAAACCUUAUAUGCACAAGCGCGCUCACACAUAUAGCCACAAGUGUUUGGAUUUAGGUAUUACUAUAAUUUAGGCAUUAUAGUGAUGGCCUUAAUGGUUUACUUGUGAAAGUAAAUCUAUUGGGCUUCUUCUAGGCACUCAGACAACAAUUCUGAGUGAUACUGUGUCAGACAGGACACGUUAAAAUAAAUAAAUAAAAUAAGGCUUACAGAAAUGUAAAAAAAAAAAAACUCAGUUUCCUAUAGUUGCUAUUUAAACUUGAGGCUGUUAAUGAAAUACGCUGUGUUUUAAGCAUAA